CUCUCAAAUUAAAAUUAAUAGCUGUUUCUUUUAAAAUAAAAUCUUCGAACUCACUCCAAAAUCUUCUGACAUAAGAGCAGUCCCAAAAUAAAUGGUUAAGAGUCUCUGGGUCACAAUCACAAAAUAAACAUGUGUUGUCAAUAGCUAUUUUAAAUCUGUGUAUAAUAAAGGUCUUUACAGGGUAGAUUCUAUGAAUGAGUUUGUAUGAUACUUCUUUCACCUAAUUAGAUAUACAAUAUUUACCAGAUAACAACAAAACCUUGUUCCAGUUCACUUGUCCCAGGGCUGCGUUCCAGUUCACUUGUCCUAGGGCUGCAUUCCUGUUCACUUGUCCUAGGGCUGCAUUCCAGUUCACUUGUCCUAGGGCUGCAUUCCAGUUCACUUGUCCUAGGGCUGCAUUCCAGUUCACUUGUCCCAGGGCUGCAUUCCAGUUCACUUGUCCCAGGGCUGCAUUCCAGUUCACUUGUCCUAGGGCUGCAUUCCAGUUCACUUGUCCCAGGGCUGCAUUCCAGUUCACUUGUCCUAGGGCUGCAUUCCAGUUCACUUGUCCUAGGGCUGCAUUCCAGUUCACUUGUCCUAGGGCUGCAUUCCAGUUCACUUGUCCCAGGGCUGCAUUCCAGUUCACUUGUCCCAGGGCUGCAUUCCAGUUCACUUGUCCUAGGGCUGCAUUCCAGUACAUUUUAGCAGAGGGAAUAGUAACAUAUUGACAUAGUUUCCUUAUAUACCUGUUAUUAC
Molecule: long non-coding RNA, 735 nt
Organism: Oncorhynchus tshawytscha (Chinook salmon)
Lineage: Eukaryota; Metazoa; Chordata; Actinopteri; Salmoniformes; Salmonidae
Source: Ensembl